GAUGAACGCUGGCGGCGUGCCUAAUACAUGCAAGUCGAGCGAACAGACGAGGAGCUUGCUCCUCUGACGUUAGCGGCGGACGGGUGAGUAACACGUGGAUAACCUACCUAUAAGACUGGGAUAACUUCGGGAAACCGGAGCUAAUACCGGAUAAUAUAUUGAACCGCAUGGUUCAAUAGUGAAAGACGGUUUUGCUGUCACUUAUAGAUGGAUCCGCGCCGCAUUAGCUAGUUGGUAAGGUAACGGCUUACCAAGGCAACGAUGCGUAGCCGACCUGAGGGGGUGGUCGGCCACACUGGAACUGAGACACGGCCCCGACUCCUACGGGAGGCAGCAGUAGGGAAUCUUCCGCAAUGGGCGAAAGCCUGACGGAGCACCGCCGCGUGAGUGAUGAAGGUCUUCGGAUCGUAAAACUCUGUUAUUAGGGAAGAACAAAUGUGUAAGUAACUAUGCACGUCUUGACGGUACCUAAUCAGAAAGCCACGGCUAACUACGUG
RNAcentral lists this ribosomal RNA (497 nucleotides) under uncultured bacterium. RNAcentral's name for it is "partial 16S ribosomal RNA". It matches the Rfam family "Bacterial small subunit ribosomal RNA", at positions 28 to 507 of the family's 1533-position model. The record is from RNAcentral.